UACGGAGGGUGCAAGCGUUGUCCGGAUUUAUUGGGUUUAAAGGGUGCGUAGGCGGCCUUUUAAGUCAGUGGUGAAAGCCCGCGGCUCAACCGCGGAACUGCCAUUGAUACUGGAAGGCUUGAGUACAGACGAGGUGGGCGGAAUUGAAGAUGUAGCGGUGAAAUGCUUAGAUACCGCCAAGAACCCCGAUUGCGUAGGCAGCUCGCUUGGCCGAAACUGACGCUGAGGCACGAAAGCGUGGGGAGCGAACAGG
RNAcentral lists this ribosomal RNA (253 nucleotides) under uncultured bacterium. RNAcentral's name for it is "partial 16S ribosomal RNA". It matches the Rfam family "Bacterial small subunit ribosomal RNA", at positions 524 to 776 of the family's 1533-position model. The record is from RNAcentral.